This 252-nucleotide ribosomal RNA is filed under the name uncultured bacterium. RNAcentral describes it as "partial 16S ribosomal RNA". It matches the Rfam family "Bacterial small subunit ribosomal RNA", at positions 335 to 580 of the family's 1533-position model. The record is from RNAcentral.
UGCCUACGGGGGGCAGCAGUAGGGAAUCUUCCACAAUGGACGAAAGUCUGAUGGAGCAACGCCGCGUGAGUGAAGAAGGGUUUCGGCUCGUAAAGCUCUUUUGGUAGUGAAGAAAGAUAGAGGUAGUAACUGGCCUUUAUUUGACGGUAAUUACUUAGAAAGUCACGGCUAACUACGUGCCAGCAGCCGCGGUAAUACGUAGGUGGCAAGCGUUUUCCGGAUUUAUUGGGCGUAAAGCGAGUGCAGGCGGUU